Molecule: ribosomal RNA, 465 nt
Filed under: uncultured Klebsiella sp.
Lineage: Bacteria; Pseudomonadati; Pseudomonadota; Gammaproteobacteria; Enterobacterales; Enterobacteriaceae
Description: bacterial SSU rRNA
Rfam family: Bacterial small subunit ribosomal RNA
Source: RNAcentral
CCUACGGGCGGCAGCAGUGGGGAAUAUUGCACAAUGGGCGCAAGCCUGAUGCAGCCAUGCCGCGUGUGUGAAGAAGGCCUUCGGGUUGUAAAGCACUUUCAGCGGGGAGGAAGGCGGUGAGGUUAAUAACCUCAUCGAUUGACGUUACCCGCAGAAGAAGCACCGGCUAACUCCGUGCCAGCAGCCGCGGUAAUACGGAGGGUGCAAGCGUUAAUCGGAAUUACUGGGCGUAAAGCGCACGCAGGCGGUCUGUCAAGUCGGAUGUGAAAUCCCCGGGCUCAACCUGGGAACUGCAUUCGAAACUGGCAGGCUAGAGUCUUGUAGAGGGGGGUAGAAUUCCAGGUGUAGCGGUGAAAUGCGGAGAGAUCUGGAGGAAUACUGGUGGCGAAGGCGGCCCCCUGGACAAAGACUGACGCUCAGGUGCGAAAGCGUGGGGAGCAAACAGGAUUAGAUACCCCUGUAGUC